GUAAAUUGGAUGGUCGCGUAUAGCAAGGUCGCAAGGCAGCGUACGAGGAAAGUCCGGGCUCCAUAGAGCAAUGAUGCUGGAUAACGUCCAGUAAGGGUGACCUUAAGGAAAGUGCAACAGAAAAUAACCGCCUAUUUUAUAGGUAAGGGUGAAAAGGUGAGGUAAGAGCUUACCGCUUGUAUGGUGACAUACAAGGUCAAUGUAAACCCCAUCUGGAGCAACACCUAAAAAGAGGGUUAAGACUGCUCGUCGUCCUCUAAAUUGGUGGCUUUGAGACAUAUGGUAACAUAUGUAAUAGAUAAAUGACUGUCCUAGACAGAACCCGGCUUACAGAUUUACUCUA
Molecule: RNase P RNA, 343 nt
Filed under: human gut metagenome
Description: Bacterial RNase P class A
Rfam family: Bacterial RNase P class A
About the family: Ribonuclease P (RNase P) is a ubiquitous endoribonuclease, found in archaea, bacteria and eukarya as well as chloroplasts and mitochondria. Its best characterised activity is the generation of mature 5'-ends of tRNAs by cleaving the 5'-leader elements of precursor-tRNAs.
Source: RNAcentral